Molecule: transfer RNA, 66 nt
Filed under: Sycanus bifidus
Lineage: Eukaryota; Metazoa; Arthropoda; Insecta; Hemiptera; Reduviidae
Description: Sycanus croceovittatus tRNA-Glu
Rfam family: tRNA
About the family: Transfer RNA (tRNA) molecules are approximately 80 nucleotides in length. Their secondary structure includes four short double-helical elements and three loops (D, anti-codon, and T loops).
Source: RNAcentral
AUUUAUAUAGUUUAAAACAAAACACUUCAUUUUCAAUGAAGAAAUGAAUUAUUUAUUCUAUAAAUA